Molecule: ribosomal RNA, 449 nt
Filed under: Streptococcus mitis
Lineage: Bacteria; Bacillati; Bacillota; Bacilli; Lactobacillales; Streptococcaceae
Description: bacterial SSU rRNA
Rfam family: Bacterial small subunit ribosomal RNA
Source: RNAcentral
GACGAACGCUGGCGGCGUGCCUAAUACAUGCAAGUAGAACGCUGAAGGAGGAGCUUGCUCUUCUGGAUGAGUUGCGAACGGGUGAGUAACGCGUAGGUAACCUGCCUGGUAGCGGGGGAUAACUAUUGGAAACGAUAGCUAAUACCGCAUAAGAGUAGAUGUUGCAUGACAUUUGCUUAAAAGGUGCAAUUGCAUCACUACCAGAUGGACCUGCGUUGUAUUAGCUAGUUGGUGAGGUAACGGCUCACCAAGGCAACGAUACAUAGCCGACCUGAGAGGGUGAUCGGCCACACUGGGACUGAGACACGGCCCAGACUCCUACGGGAGGCAGCAGUAGGGAAUCUUCGGCAAUGGACGGAAGUCUGACCGAGCAACGCCGCGUGAGUGAAGAAGGUUUUCGGAUCGUAAAGCUCUGUUGUAAGAGAAGAAACGAGUGUGAGAAGUGGAAA